ACCAGACUCCUACGGGAGGCAGCAGUGGGGAAUAUUGCACAAUGGGGGAAACCCUGAUGCAGCGACGCCGCGUGAGCGAUGAAGUAUUUCGGUAUGUAAAGCUCUAUCAGCAGGGAAGAAAAUGACGGUACCUGACUAAGAAGCCCCGGCUAACUACGUGCCAGCAGCCGCGGUAAUACGUAGGGGGCAAGCGUUAUCCGGAUUUACUGGGUGUAAAGGGGGCGCAGACGGCGAUGCAAGCCAGGAGUGAAAGCCCGGGGCCCAACCCCGGGACUGAUCUUGGAACUGCGUGGCUGGAGUGUAGGAGGGGCAGGCGGAAUUCCUGGUGUAGCGGUGAAAUGCGUAGAUAUUAGGAGGAACACCAGUGGCGAAGGCGGCUUACUGGACUGUAACUGACGUUGAGGCUCGAAAGCGUGGGGAGCAAACAGGAUUAGAUACCCCAGUAGUA
RNAcentral lists this ribosomal RNA (448 nucleotides) under uncultured bacterium. Its description in RNAcentral is "bacterial SSU rRNA". It matches the Rfam family "Bacterial small subunit ribosomal RNA", at positions 330 to 795 of the family's 1533-position model. The record is from RNAcentral.